GAAUUCUUCUAUGUAACAGAUGGCAAUGGUUUCAUGCGGGACACAUAUAUUAUCAGUUAAAGCAUGUGUCUUAAUAAGAUGUCUCCUAAACCCAGAAUAACUAGCGAACUGCAAACAAUAAACUGUCUGACUGCAUUUUAGUCGUAGGCUUUUUGCUGGAUACAUUCCAUGAAUUAGUUUUAGGUGACUGAACAAAAGCAAAACUGUACCAAAGGAUGAAGUUCAGAGGAAACAACUUAACAUUCUGGCUGAACAAAAUAGUUACCGUUUGUUCAACAACCUUGCUCUGAGCUCUCUGACUCUUGGAGUUUCUUCAGUUCUACGAUGUCAAUAUUGUACACAGUUGUUUGUAAAGAUGUCUACAUGCUUGACAGGGAAUCAUCAUACUUCACACUGAACACAAAAUGAGACUUAAAUAGCUCAUCAAAAGUCACCAAGGAUGUACAUGACUGACAUGUUACAAGCUUUUUGUCCAAGACAACAUAGAAGGUGGAAACCUUCACUUUUAAAAUCCCUCUGGCAAGAAGAUAUGGCUGAGAGCCUCCUUCAGUGGUCUUCAGAUGGUCCUCAAGGCUUUGACAUGACUGAAGCACAAUGAAAACAUCCACUUAUAAAUAAUUUGCUUAAAAAAUGUUAAAUUUACUGCAAUAUUUUGAAUGAUACAGUGUUAUUCACAAACCUUUUGAAAUUCCACCAGACGAUCUAUUGCCUCAUCAAUGCUGAGUUUCUUGGGCCGUUUUCUUCCAGUUGGUUGUGGUGUGAGAAGAUGCAGCAGGACAAGAAGAGACGACAUAUCACUGUCCCACUCUGGAAAUAGAGUAAAUAAUAACUAGUUAUUUUAAAAUGGGCCAUUUUGUGAAUCUCUAGACUCUGUUACACUUGUUUUAUGAUAAUCUUUUGAAAUAGAAGAGCAAAAGUGUGCUACUUCAAGCAAAUGUUUGUUAGAGACCAGAACAUUCUUCCUGUUAAAUGCUAAACAACAAACUGUUAUGCAAACAGAUUUUCAGUUAUUUAACAAUACAGUUUGUUCUUCUGUCUUCUAGUCAAUUAAAUCCUUCUGCAUCCUGGAGAUUUUAUUUGAUUUUGAUGAUGCACCUGGAUCAUCAGUGGUGUCAGAUCCUUCAUUCAGAGCAGAUGUCGUUUUAGAAUUUACCUGUUGUAGCGGGGGGGUCAUUAAUUAGUGGCACACACGUCCGAGGCACACGUGACAAAGCUGUGUAUUCCUGGCGAAAGCUGGACGGCUUCUGAUGAGGUAGGACAUAUGAUGAUGCUCUCUCUCCUAAUUGUUAAUCUAGUGGCCAUAAAAUAUUCAAAACUCUCUCUCACUCUUCAAAACUUCAUAAAAACUUAAGAA
Molecule: long non-coding RNA, 1354 nt
Organism: Amphiprion ocellaris (clown anemonefish)
Lineage: Eukaryota; Metazoa; Chordata; Actinopteri; Pomacentridae
Source: Ensembl